GAUGAACGCUGACAGAAUGCUUAACACAUGCAAGUCUUUGGCGAAGCCGUGCUUGCACAGCCUAGCCAAGGCGGACGGGUGAGUAACGCGUAAGGAACUUGCCCUGCAGUCAGGGAUAACAGACGGAAACGACUGAUAAGACCUGGUAAAGUCAGGCGGACUCAUGUCCAGCCUGAUGAAAAGAGAUGCUGCAGGAGAGCCUUGCGUCCUAUUAGCUUGUUGGUGGGGUAACGGCCCACCAAGGCGAUGAUAGGUAGCCGGCCUGAGAGGGUGGACGGCCACAAGGGGACUGAGAUACGGCCCUUACUCCUACGGGAGGCAGCAGUGGGGAAUAUUGGACAAUGGGGGCAACCCUGAUCCAGCAAUUCUGUGUGCACGAUGAAGGUUUUCGGAUUGUAAAGUGCUUUCAGCAGGGAAGAAAAAAUGACGGUACCUGCAGAAGAAGCGACGGCUAAAUACGUG
RNAcentral lists this ribosomal RNA (462 nucleotides) under uncultured bacterium. RNAcentral's name for it is "partial 16S ribosomal RNA". It matches the Rfam family "Bacterial small subunit ribosomal RNA", at positions 28 to 507 of the family's 1533-position model. The record is from RNAcentral.